GAAAUGCGAUAACUAGUGUGAAUUGCAGAAUUCCGUGAAUCAUCGAGUCUUUGAACGCACAUUGCGCCCCCUGGUAUUCCGGGGGGCAUGCCUGUCCGAGCGUCAUUGCUGCCCAUCAAGCACGGCUUGUGUGUUGGGUCGUCGUCCCCUCUCCGGGGGGGACGGGCCCCAGAGGCAGCGGCGGCACCGCGUCCGAUCCUCGAGCGUAUGGGGUUUUGUCACCCGCUCUGUAGGCCCGGCCGGCGCUUGCCGAACGCAAAUCAAUCUUUUUCCAGGUUGACCUCGGAUCAGGUAGGGAUACCCGCUGAACUUAAGC
RNAcentral lists this unclassified non-coding RNA (316 nucleotides) under plant metagenome. RNAcentral describes it as "partial contains 5.8S ribosomal RNA, internal transcribed spacer 2, and large subunit ribosomal RNA". The stretch from base 1 to 105 matches the Rfam family "5.8S ribosomal RNA", at positions 50 to 154 of the family's 154-position model. The record is from RNAcentral.